GCAGCUGUUUAGUCUCCCCCGUUGGUUUGGUGUUAAGUGGCAGCUUCCUCCCAGCCUUGAUUUUCAUCUCUCAUUUUCAGCAUCUUGCUGCUCACACCAAAUUCUCAAGCUGUGCAGUGUGUUCUGUGUUGUGCUAGGACAGUCUGGCUGCUGAGAGCAGGAGUGCAGAGGGCAGCUGCCAGGUAAAGGUGCAAGGAGUGGAGAUGUCUUCAAAAAUUCAGUGUAACAGCCAGCCUGAUGUUGACAGGGGCCAGCAGGAAUCUCCUGCUCUCCCAGAGGAAAUGGGAGCAAAGGAAAUUGCACCUUAAAGGAGAAUUUUUCUGCAGGAGUGACAGAUCAGAGAUGGCAUAAAGCAAGUGUGUAAGAAACCCCCACAUGCAUCAGGCUUUGGAGUGAGACCAGCCCUUUUCUCUGAGGUGCCACACAAGUGCCAGUGAUGGCAAAAGCUGGUGGUAAGACAAAAAUAAAAAUAUGGCAGUCACUUCCAACCUAUCAAGCUAGCUGACAUCAAUGGUGCAGCAGAUCAGUCAAUGGUUGAUUUAUUUAUCCCAGUAUUUCUCUGGCACACCCAGCCCCUGUUUCUGGAAAAGGAAAACAUUUGUGUGUUUGCAGAUUGUAGGAGUUGAUUUGUCAGUGGAGCUGCUCAGGAUGUUGGUUAAGUGAAAAAUAAUUUUGUGUGUUUUAGUAAAUGCAAUUCAUCAGAAGCUGUGCAGAUUAACUGGGUAGAGCUACACUGAACACCAUGGCAUCUGCAGAUAAAAAAAUGAUAAAUUAUGAUAUUACUCCUGCUCUAUGAUUCAUUGGGAGGAACUCAGAAGCCAAGCAUUUUCUUCAAAGAAAUUAUUCAAUGAAGACUGAGCAGCGACUAUAAAACAACAAAACACCUCCUUUGCAAUGGUUUUAAAUAUUGUUGUACAUAAAAUCUAAUUUAUAUGGUAUUAAAGGCUUUUCUUUGGACUACAAAUCAUCUUUGAAAAAUGCAUCCUGUAAACGGUUCAUCAGAUGCAUCUCAAAUACUUUUAUGAUUAUUAGUAAAUGGAAUUAGAGCAC
Molecule: long non-coding RNA, 1050 nt
Organism: Zonotrichia leucophrys gambelii
Lineage: Eukaryota; Metazoa; Chordata; Aves; Passeriformes; Passerellidae
Exons: 3
Source: RefSeq, a predicted model, not a curated record